AUGUAUCUAUUUGACAAACCUGGGGCAGUUACUAUCUCCUGCUAAGUUUCCCACUAAGAGGCAAGAAGAAAAGUAUUCUUGUGCUUUCUGUCUGUCUGAUUGUGGCAGCCAAGAUUGAAGGGGGAAACGACAUGG
Small nucleolar RNA from Vicugna pacos (alpaca), 135 nucleotides. The record is from Ensembl. NCBI's taxonomy places the organism in Eukaryota, Metazoa, Chordata, Mammalia, Artiodactyla, Camelidae.